UACUUCGCCGAAGAAUAAUAAACACAUGAGAUUGUCAUGAACCCUAAAAGUAUUUCUAAAAACUGCUCCAUUUAAUAGGCUUUUAGAAACAUGCAAAAAAAGUACAGACAGUCAAAGACAGAUUUUAUUUUAGUAUCCAAUAGUAUGAAUCACCAACAGUGUUUGGGGAUAACUUUUUCCUUGAAAUCUAUCCUUAGGCAUAGUUGUGAAAUAAAAUAAAAUAAUUAUUAAGAAAGGGAUAGCGACAAAAUGAUUAUUUCUGAAGUAAGGUAGAAAAUCUAGAAAAAGGAAAUAGAUAAAAACAGUCAACGAUGGUACUUCAUCCACAUAUGUCCUCGGGGCCAGGAGGUGGACGACAAAUUGUUCAACCACAGCAACGCACGGACGUACACGAUGUUUGACAACAUGCAUUAUGUUGCAGCUGCAAUGAUGGCUAACGCAAUCAUUGGGAAGUUGUUUUGUUAUUAGUAAUAUAUAUUGUUAUUUUA
Molecule: unclassified non-coding RNA, 488 nt
Filed under: Pectinophora gossypiella (pink bollworm)
Lineage: Eukaryota; Metazoa; Arthropoda; Insecta; Lepidoptera; Gelechiidae
Description: ornithine carbamoyltransferase-like
Source: RNAcentral